This 2248-nucleotide ribosomal RNA is filed under the name Campylobacter jejuni. Its description in RNAcentral is "partial 23S ribosomal RNA". It matches the Rfam family "Bacterial large subunit ribosomal RNA", at positions 690 to 2925 of the family's 2925-position model. The record is from RNAcentral. Lineage: Bacteria; Pseudomonadati; Campylobacterota; Epsilonproteobacteria; Campylobacterales; Campylobacteraceae.
GGGCGCUUAGUCAGAUGCUGCAGACCCGAAACGAAGUGAUCUAUCCAUGAGCAAGUUGAAGCUAGUGUAAGAACUAGUGGAGGACUGAACCCAUAGGCGUUGAAAAGCCCCGGGAUGACUUGUGGAUAGGGGUGAAAGGCCAAUCAAACUUCGUGAUAGCUGGUUCUCUCCGAAAUAUAUUUAGGUAUAGCGUUGUGUCGUAAUAUAAGGGGGUAGAGCACUGAAUGGGCUAGGGCAUACACCAAUGUACCAAACCCUAUCAAACUCCGAAUACCUUAUAUGUAAUCACAGCAGUCAGGCGGCGAGUGAUAAAAUCCGUCGUCAAGAGGGAAACAACCCAGACUACCAGCUAAGGUCCCUAAAUCUUACUUAAGUGGAAAACGAUGUGAAGUUACUUAAACAACCAGGAGGUUGGCUUAGAAGCAGCCAUCCUUUAAAGAAAGCGUAAUAGCUCACUGGUCUAGUGAUUUUGCGCGGAAAAUAUAACGGGGCUAAAGUAAGUACCGAAGCUGUAGACUUAGUUUACUAAGUGGUAGGAGAGCGUUCUAUUUGCGUCGAAGGUAUACCGGUAAGGAGUGCUGGAGCGAAUAGAAGUGAGCAUGCAGGCAUGAGUAGCGAUAAUUAAUGUGAGAAUCAUUAACGCCGUAAACCCAAGGUUUCCUACGCGAUGCUCGUCAUCGUAGGGUUAGUCGGGUCCUAAGUCGAGUCCGAAAGGGGUAGACGAUGGCAAAUUGGUUAAUAUUCCAAUACCAACAUUAGUGUGCGAUGGAAGGACGCUUAGGGCUAAGGGGGCUAGCGGAUGGAAGUGCUAGUCUAAGGUCGUAGGAGGUUGUACAGGCAAAUCCGUAUAACAAUACUCCGAGAACUGAAAGGCUUUUUGAAGUCUUCGGAUGGAUAGAAGAACCCCUGAUGCCGUCGAGCCAAGAAAAGUUUCUAAGUUUAGCUAAUGUUGCCCGUACCGUAAACCGACACAGGUGGGUGGGAUGAGUAUUCUAAGGCGCGUGGAAGAACUCUCUUUAAGGAACUCUGCAAAAUAGCACCGUAUCUUCGGUAUAAGGUGUGGUUAGCUUUGUAUUAGGAUUUACUCCGAAAGCAAGGAAACUUACAACAAAGAGUCCCUCCCGACUGUUUACCAAAAACACAGCACUCUGCUAACUCGUAAGAGGAUGUAUAGGGUGUGACGCCUGCCCGGUGCUCGAAGGUUAAUUGAUGGGGUUAGCAUUAGCGAAGCUCUUGAUCGAAGCCCGAGUAAACGGCGGCCGUAACUAUAACGGUCCUAAGGUAGCGAAAUUCCUUGUCGGUUAAAUACCGACCUGCAUGAAUGGCGUAACGAGAUGGGAGCUGUCUCAAAGAGGGAUCCAGUGAAAUUGUAGUGGAGGUGAAAAUUCCUCCUACCCGCGGCAAGACGGAAAGACCCCGUGGACCUUUACUACAGCUUGACACUGCUACUUGGAUAAGAAUGUGCAGGAUAGGUGGGAGGCUUUGAGUAUAUGACGCCAGUUGUAUAUGAGCCAUUGUUGAGAUACCACUCUUUCUUAUUUGGGUAGCUAACCAGCUUGAGUUAUCCUCAAGUGGGACAAUGUCUGGUGGGUAGUUUGACUGGGGCGGUCGCCUCCCAAAUAAUAACGGAGGCUUACAAAGGUUGGCUCAGAACGGUUGGAAAUCGUUCGUAGAGUAUAAAGGUAUAAGCCAGCUUAACUGCAAGACAUACAAGUCAAGCAGAGACGAAAGUCGGUCUUAGUGAUCCGGUGGUUCUGUGUGGAAGGGCCAUCGCUCAAAGGAUAAAAGGUACCCCGGGGAUAACAGGCUGAUCUCCCCCAAGAGCUCACAUCGACGGGGAGGUUUGGCACCUCGAUGUCGGCUCAUCGCAUCCUGGGGCUGGAGCAGGUCCCAAGGGUAUGGCUGUUCGCCAUUUAAAGCGGUACGCGAGCUGGGUUCAGAACGUCGUGAGACAGUUCGGUCCCUAUCUGCCGUGGGCGUAAGAAGAUUGAAGAGAUUUGACCCUAGUACGAGAGGACCGGGUUGAACAAACCACUGGUGUAGCUGUUGUUCUGCCAAGAGCAUCGCAGCGUAGCUAAGUUUGGAAAGGAUAAACGCUGAAAGCAUCUAAGCGUGAAGCCAACUCUAAGAUGAAUCUUCUCUAAGCUCUCUAGAAGACUACUAGUUUGAUAGGCUGGGUGUGUAAUGGAUGAAAGUCCUUUAGCUGACCAGUACUAAUAGAGCGUUUGGCUUAUCUUUAAUAAAGCAU